This 476-nucleotide ribosomal RNA is filed under the name Enterococcus faecalis. RNAcentral describes it as "bacterial SSU rRNA". It matches the Rfam family "Bacterial small subunit ribosomal RNA", at positions 990 to 1466 of the family's 1533-position model. Lineage: Bacteria; Bacillati; Bacillota; Bacilli; Lactobacillales; Enterococcaceae. The record is from RNAcentral.
UUUGACCACUCUAGAGAUAGAGCUUUCCCUUCGGGGACAAAGUGACAGGUGGUGCAUGGUUGUCGUCAGCUCGUGUCGUGAGAUGUUGGGUUAAGUCCCGCAACGAGCGCAACCCUUAUUGUUAGUUGCCAUCAUUUAGUUGGGCACUCUAGCGAGACUGCCGGUGACAAACCGGAGGAAGGUGGGGAUGACGUCAAAUCAUCAUGCCCCUUAUGACCUGGGCUACACACGUGCUACAAUGGGAAGUACAACGAGUCGCUAGACCGCGAGGUCAUGCAAAUCUCUUAAAGCUUCUCUCAGUUCGGAUUGCAGGCUGCAACUCGCCUGCAUGAAGCCGGAAUCGCUAGUAAUCGCGGAUCAGCACGCCGCGGUGAAUACGUUCCCGGGCCUUGUACACACCGCCCGUCACACCACGAGAGUUUGUAACACCCGAAGUCGGUGAGGUAACCUUUUUGGAGCCAGCCGCCUAAGGUGGG